GGAUGAUCAAUUGUUUUUUCUUCUGUUCGGUAAUGCAUUGCUAAUUGCUAGGGGAGGCUAGGGAUAGCAACUCGGUAAUUAGUAAUAAGCUCUUUUCACCGAGGGAUCGGGUUAAGGGUAGGCCAAGAAAGUUUGCAUAACAAUUAGAUAAUCAAGAACAUUAAACAAGAGGAGUAGAUAAGAGGGAGCAAAUUAGAUGAAAUUGUCAACCCCCAACAACUCCAUUCAUCCAUAGUCUUUUUCAUCAAUUGAAUCAAACACAUUGCAUGUUUAUUUUCUGUCCUUGCAUUCCAAACAAAUAAUUUUUCUCUACAAGU
Molecule: long non-coding RNA, 317 nt
Filed under: Vigna radiata
Lineage: Eukaryota; Viridiplantae; Streptophyta; Magnoliopsida; Fabales; Fabaceae
Description: long non-coding RNA (VRAD_LNC006601)
Source: RNAcentral